GUCUAUGGCCAUGCCCCCUGAACAAGCCCGAUGUCUGAUCUCAGAAGCUAAGCAGGGUCGGGCCUGGGGUUAGUAAGUACUUGGAUGGGAGACACCUAGGAAGACCAGGUGCUGCUGUAG
This 120-nucleotide ribosomal RNA is filed under the name Pteropus alecto (black flying fox). Lineage: Eukaryota; Metazoa; Chordata; Mammalia; Chiroptera; Pteropodidae. The record is from RNAcentral.